GGCAAAAAUGGCUACGGCGGCGGCGGAGAUGGUCGCCGAGGCCAGGAAAUGGCUAGAGAGCCUCCGUGUCAUGGGCAACCACGGCGUCUCCGGCGGCCCCUUCGACUUCCUCCACAUAUUUCCGCUAUCAGUCUCGCUGGUCGAGGCCGGCUGCGCCCUCUGCACCUACUGCGUCCCCGCCCACGCCGCCGACGCUGAUGGCAACUGGGAAUCGGG
RNAcentral lists this unclassified non-coding RNA (216 nucleotides) under Hevea brasiliensis (rubber tree). The record is from RNAcentral. Lineage: Eukaryota; Viridiplantae; Streptophyta; Magnoliopsida; Malpighiales; Euphorbiaceae.